This 465-nucleotide ribosomal RNA is filed under the name uncultured bacterium. Its description in RNAcentral is "partial 16S ribosomal RNA". It matches the Rfam family "Bacterial small subunit ribosomal RNA", at positions 28 to 507 of the family's 1533-position model. The record is from RNAcentral.
GAUGAACGCUGGCGGCGUGCUUAACACAUGCAAGUCGAACGGAAAGGCUCCUGCUUGCAGGGGUACUCGAGUGACGAACGGGUGAGUAACACGUGGGUGAUCUGCCCUGCACUUCGGGAUAAGCCUGGGAAACUGGGUCUAAUACCGGAUAGGACGAUGGUUUGGAUGCCAUUGUGGAAAGUUUUUCGGUGUGGGAUGAGCUCGCGGCCUAUCAGCUUGUUGGUGGGGUAAUGGCCUACCAAGGCGUCGACGGGUAGCCGGCCUGAGAGGGUGUACGGCCACAUUGGGACUGAGAUACGGCCCAGACUCCUACGGGAGGCAGCAGUGGGGAAUAUUGCACAAUGGGCGCAAGCCUGAUGCAGCGACGCCGCGUGGGGGAUGACGGCCUUCGGGUUGUAAACUCCUUUCGUCAGGGACGAAGCGAAAGUGACGGUACCUGGAUAAGAAGCACCGGCUAACUACGUG